UUGAAAACUGAGUCUUCUCAUCAAAACCUGAUUGUGCGGUUGACCCUUGAACAACAGGGGUUUGAAAUGCGAGGAUCCGCUUUUGCAUGGAUUUUCUUCCUCCUCUGCCACCCCUAACAGAGCAAGACUAACCCCUCCUCUUCCUCCGCUUCAGCCCACUCAAUGUGAAGACGAUGAGGAUGAAAGCCUUCCUGAUGAUCCACUUCCACUUAAUAAACAGCAAAUGCCCUCUUCCAGACACCAUGGAAAAAUGUAAGAAUGGAUCAGACUGAGUCUUCUCUCAAGGAACUACAAAUCCUGAAUCCAUGAGAAGGCAAAGACUUUUUUGAUAUUGCUGAAUUACACUGGAAGACUGGGUGGCUUCUAUCACUUCUUCUCACGAAGACGUCUGGAGGCAGAGCAAGAAACUGGAGAUUUCCCUUUGACGGCAACGAAGGCAACUGGCUGGUGGUGGAGGACAAGCCUGGAGUACUAUCACUUGGAUGGUCUCUGCUGCGAUGUAGAAGGCUUAAUUAAAUCACUGGAAUAGGGGCAGCAAUUCAGUCCUUGUCCAUAUACCGGGAGCUCAGCUGAAAAUCCAUGUCCUCUGGGGAAGAGUAGAAACAAAAUCCAUCUGCCUGUAGAAGGGUAGGUAAACCUCUUGUAUGUCAGGACACAGACAAAGGUUUAUUGCUGCUAGGGAAGUGGGGGACAAAGGGAACGUACUGGUUCGCUAAGGUUGUCGUAACAAACUACUAGAGACUGGGUGGCUUAAAUAACAGAAAUUUAUGCUUUCAGAGUUCUGGAGGAGGUCCAAGAUCAAUUGGCAGGUUUGAUUUCUUCUGAGGUCUCUCUCCUUGGCCUGAAAACAGCCAUCUUCUGUGUUCUCACAUGGCCACAUCUGCCCAGGUGCACAUCCCUGGGGUCUCUACAAGUCCAAAUUUCAUUUCCUUAUAAGGACACCUGUCAGAUUGCAUUAAGGCCCAUCCUAACAACCUCAUUUUAAGUUAAUGUCCUCUUCGAAGGCUCUGUCUGCAAAUACAGCAGCAUUCUGAAGUACUGAGGGUUAGGGCUUUGACAUACUAAUUUUGAGGAAGACAAAAUUCAAUUCUUAACAGGAGAGAAACUAUAACUCCCAAUCCUUAGAAAGAGCAGAAAAUUGUCUUGUCUGGGAUCCUAAAUCCAGAAGAGAUCUAUUAAUGCUGGGUUAGGUCAUAGAACUCUCUCCUCCUUAAGACCAAUGCCACAGUGAGGAUACCUGGGAGUGGUGAAGUACCACCCCCGAGGGCCAGUCACACACACAGGCCAGAAGGAGACCGACCCACCCCCGAGGGCCAGUCACACACAUAGGCCAAAAGGAGACCGACCUACCCCCAAGGGCCAGUCACACACACAGGCCAGAAGGAGACCCAGCCCCCAGGGCCAAGAAGGAGACCACAGAACUCCCUCCAUUGCUGCUCCACCCUAAAUCUAGCACCUUGUGGGGAUAGAAAGUGAAGAGAGACUAAGGUUUUUACCUUAGACAUGCAGGUGUUGCUGAACAUGAGGGUGGAGCAUGAGCACAGAAAAAAACCUCUAGUGCCUUAGUCUGUACUCAAAGCUCAAGAUAACAAUAGCCAAUUGCUAGAAGAUUUGAAGUCUGGUAAACUAAAGAGCAUGAGAACAGAAACAAAGACGUAAGCUUCUGAUUAAAAUAUCUCAAACCCACGCACUAAAACCAUGACUAAAGAAGAGGUAUAUGCUCAUUUGUACACAUAAAUACUAUUUACUUCAGCCUCUGCUGUUCUAUGUAUGAUAUCCAGCAUUCAAUAAAAAUCUACCAGGGCCAGGUGCUAUGGUGGCAUGCACCUGUAAUCCAAGCACUUCGGGAGGCUGAGUUGGGAGGAUCGCUUGAGCCAGGAGUUGGAGGCUGCAGCAAGUCAUCAUUGUGCCACUGCACUCCUGUCUAGAUGACAGAAGGAGACCCAGUCUCUUAGAAUGAAUGAAUGAAUAAAUAAAUAAAUACAGCUAUUUAUCAGACAGAUUAAAAAACAAGGAAAACAAUCCAUCAUGAGGAGAUAAAGUAAUCAAAAGGUCCAGUUUUGAAGUGACUGAGAUGUUGAAAUUAUCUGAUAAAGAAUUUUAAAUAACUAUAAUUCACAAGAAGCUUAUGGAAAAGUAAACACACAUGAGAAGAAGGGGAAUUUUAGCAGAUAAGAAGAAAUCAUUUCUAAAAAGUCCAAUGAAGACAUUAAAAAUAAAAUGUAGGAUAUCAGAGGUGAAAAAGUCCUGCAAUGGGCUCAUCAGCUGGCUAAGUGUAGCUGAGAAAAUAAUAAAUAAACUUGAACAUGGGUCAGUAGAAAUGAUCCAGACUGAAGCUCAAAGAUAAAAACUAAAAACAAACCCAAAACAGACUGAGCUCUCAGGAGCUUCAGGACAAUAUCAAAUGGUCUAACAUAUACGAAACUGGAGUCCCAAAAGAAGAAGAAGACAGAGAAUGGAACAGAAUAAAAAUAUGCAGAGAAAACAGCCAGACAUUUUUUUCUUUUUUUUUCUAGACACCGGAAAAGGCAAGGAUUGUUUUUUGAAAUUUUUCAAAAUUAAUGGAAAAAAUAUAAGCCACAGAUCUAUGAAGCUCAAAGAGCCCUAAGCAGGGUAAAUUUCUGAAA
Long non-coding RNA from Gorilla gorilla gorilla (western lowland gorilla), 2627 nucleotides. RefSeq lists it as uncharacterized. The transcript has 3 exons. NCBI's taxonomy places the organism in Eukaryota, Metazoa, Chordata, Mammalia, Primates, Hominidae. The record is from RefSeq and is a predicted model, not a curated record.